UUGGAGGGCAAGUCUGGUGCCAGCAGCCGCGGUAAUUCCAGCUCCAAUAGCGUAUAUUAAAGUUGUUGCAGUUAAAAAGCUCGUAGUUGAAUUUCGGGGUUAGUAGGUUGGUCAUGCCUCUGGUAUGUACUGAUCCUACUGAUUCCUCCUUCCUGAUGAACCGUAAUGCCAUUAAUUUGGUGUUGCGGGGAGUCUGGACUGUUACUUUGAAAAAAUUAGAGUGUUUAAAGCAAGCUAACGCUUGAAUACAUUAGCAUGGAAUAAUGAAAUAGGACGUUCGAUCCUAUUUUGUUGGUUUCUAGGAUUGACGUAAUGAUUAAUAGGGAUAGUUGGGGGCAUUAGUAUUCAAUUGUCAGAGGUGAAAUUCUUGGAUUUAUUGAAGACUAACUACUGCGAAAGCAUUUGCCAAGGAUGUUUUCAUUAAUCAAGAACGAAAGUUAGGGGAUCGAAGACGAUCAGAUACCGUCGUAGUCUUAACCAUAAACUAUGCCGACUAGGGAUCGGAUGAUGUUAAUUCUUUAAUGACUCAUUCGGCGCCUUACGGGAAAC
RNAcentral lists this ribosomal RNA (549 nucleotides) under uncultured Glomus. Its description in RNAcentral is "SSU rRNA". It matches the Rfam family "Eukaryotic small subunit ribosomal RNA", at positions 548 to 1098 of the family's 1831-position model. The record is from RNAcentral. Lineage: Eukaryota; Fungi; Glomeromycota; Glomeromycetes; Glomerales; Glomeraceae.